CACACCGCCCGACACACCAUGGGAGUUUGUUGCACCAGAAGCAGGUAGCCUAACCGCAAGGGGGGCGCUUGCCACGGUGUGGCCGAUGACUGGGGUG
RNAcentral lists this ribosomal RNA (97 nucleotides) under uncultured bacterium. RNAcentral's name for it is "partial 16S ribosomal RNA". It matches the Rfam family "Bacterial small subunit ribosomal RNA", at positions 1386 to 1482 of the family's 1533-position model. The record is from RNAcentral.